UAUCAAUAAGCGGAGGAAAAGAAACCAACAGGGAUUGCCCUAGUAACGGCGAGUGAAGCGGCAACAGCUCAAAUUUGAAAUCUGGCGCAAGCCCGAGUUGUAAUUUGUAGAGGAUGCUUCAGGGCAGCGGCCGGUCUAAGUUCCUUGGAACAGGACGUCAUAGAGGGUGAGAAUCCCGUAUGCGACCGGUUGGCACCCGUCACGUAGCUCCUUCGACGAGUCGAGUUGUUUGGGAAUGCAGCUCUAAAUGGGAGGUAAAUUUCUUCUAAAGCUAAAUACCGGCCAGAGACCGAUAGCGCACAAGUAGAGUGAUCGAAAGAUGAAAAGCACUUUGGAAAGAGAGUUAAAAAGCACGUGAAAUUGUUGAAAGGGAAGCGCAUGCAACCAGACUUGUCGGCGGUGUUCCGCCGGUCUUCUGACCGGUCUACUCGCCGCCGGCAGGCCAGCAUCAUCUGGGCGCGCCGGACAAAGGCGCGGGGAAUGUGGCUCCUCGGAGUGUUAUAGCCCCGCGCACAAUACGGCGCCGCUCGGGUGAGGUCCGCGCUUCGGCUAGGAUGCUGGCGUAAUGGUUGUCUGCGGCCCGUCUUGAAACACGGACCAAGGAGUCUAACAUCUAUGCGAGUGUUCGGGUGUCAAACCCCUACGCGGAAUGAAAGUGAACGGAGGUGGGAAGCGCAAGCUGCACCAUCGACCGAUCCUGAUGUCUUCGGAUGGAUUUGAGUAAGAGCAUAGCUGUUGGGACCCGAAAGAUGGUGAACUAUGCCUGAAUAGGGUGAAGCCAGAGGAAACUCUGGUGGAGGCUCGCAGCGGUUCUGACGUGCAAAUCGAUCGUCAAAUUUGGGUAUAGGGGCGAAAGACUAAUCGAACCAUCUAGUAGCUG
Molecule: ribosomal RNA, 880 nt
Filed under: Teratosphaeria stellenboschiana
Lineage: Eukaryota; Fungi; Ascomycota; Dothideomycetes; Mycosphaerellales; Teratosphaeriaceae
Description: eukaryotic LSU rRNA
Rfam family: Eukaryotic large subunit ribosomal RNA
Source: RNAcentral